GCAGCGUAUGUUGCCUGGCAGAGCCCUCGGCAGGGACCCCAAGUCAUUUUACAAGUGAAGAGAAUGGGCCUCUGACCAAGUGAAGACCUUUCCGAGGACACACGGGUUGUAGAGCCAUUAUUCGCAGGGGGCCCACUUUCAAUGAAGGCUGUCUACCCAAGACGGAGUUUUACCACCCAGGCUGGCCAGUGAGUAAGGGGCCGGGGUGUGGCCUGGUUUCCAAAGCUUGCCUGGGCAUGAGAUCACCUGAGGCCACACAGCACGCUCCUCCUCUGUCCUGAAGAUUCUGAAGGAGUCUGUUUGCUUCCGGCUGUGGGAACUCUGACUUAGCCUCCUAGAGGGACAAGAUUUCCAAACAGUGAGCCUGCAGUGCCUGCUGGGUCUGCUGGGCCAUUUGAGGGACUCGGGGCAUAGAUGAUGAUAUGUCCUCUGGCAGCCUGAAUACAGCAUGGAUCCCUUCUUUAUGUUAUAAAAUGAACUUCGUCUGAA
Molecule: long non-coding RNA, 489 nt
Organism: Mesocricetus auratus (golden hamster)
Lineage: Eukaryota; Metazoa; Chordata; Mammalia; Rodentia; Cricetidae
Exons: 2
Source: RefSeq, a predicted model, not a curated record